CAGGAUGAACGCUAGCUACAGGCUUAACACAUGCAAGUCGAGGGGCAUCACUGAGGUAGCAAUACCUCUGGUGGCGACCGGCGCACGGGUGAGUAACGCGUAUCCAACCUUCCCCCCAGUAGGGCAUAGCCCGGCGAAAGUCGGAUUAAUACCCUAUGUUUUCCCAUGAUAGCAUUUGAAAGGGAAGAAAGAUUCAUCGCUGGGGGAUGGGGAUGCGUCCGAUUAGGCAGCAGGCGGGGUAACGGCCCACCUGGCCCGCGAUCGGUAGGGGUUCUGAGAGGAAGGUCCCCCACAUUGGAACUGAGACACGGUCCAAACUCCUACGGGAGGCAGCAGUGAGGAAUAUUGGUCAAUGGGCGCAGGCCUGAACCAAGCCAAGUAGCGUGAGGGACGACGGCCCUAUGGGUUGUAAACCUCUUUUGCAGGGGAAUAAAGUGCGGGACGCGUCCCGUUUUGUAUGUACCCUGAGAAUAAGGACCGGCUAAUUCCGUGCCAGCCGCCGC
Molecule: ribosomal RNA, 503 nt
Filed under: uncultured bacterium
Lineage: Bacteria
Description: bacterial SSU rRNA
Rfam family: Bacterial small subunit ribosomal RNA
Source: RNAcentral